Molecule: non-coding RNA, 489 nt
Organism: Microcebus murinus (gray mouse lemur)
Lineage: Eukaryota; Metazoa; Chordata; Mammalia; Primates; Cheirogaleidae
Source: RefSeq, a predicted model, not a curated record
UGUCGUCCCGUGCCUGUUCUGCUGCAUCUGCUCCUCGUGUCUGCCACAAAGGACUUCCGUCCACUCGCGCCACACCGUGCCUACCACGCACGGCGUCGCGGCCGAACCCAUGGAGACUGAAAACCCAGAAGUCAGCAACUGUCCUCAUUACGCCGGAGAAACCAAUCAGCCAGGGAGAUUGAUGAUCAGCCAAUAGCCUAGAAUGCAGUCGGCCAGUAUUUGCAAAGAACUCUAGCCUGCAGUGAGGAUCCGAGCACUGGGAAAUGCCAGCACACUCUAUUCAAAUAAGGAGCAUUCAGACCUCCUGUUGCAGGAAUGGUCCACACUUAGCAGCAGAGGAGCCUCAGACCCACGCGAGCGGCAAGGCCUCACCCACCUGGCAGCCAGCACAGCUGCCCUGCCACAAGUUCUCGUCCCGGUUCCUGAGCAUGCCAACCUUGACCUUCAACUCCACGCCAUCAGGGAGCCCUGCUCUUGCUUGUGACUUGU